RNAcentral lists this long non-coding RNA (421 nucleotides) under Bos indicus x Bos taurus (hybrid cattle). RNAcentral's name for it is "lncRNA (ENSBIXG00005029353.1)". The record is from RNAcentral. Lineage: Eukaryota; Metazoa; Chordata; Mammalia; Artiodactyla; Bovidae.
UGGUGGCUUGGUGGUAAAAGAAUCUGCUUGUAAUGCAGGAGAUGUGGGCAAUGCAGGAGAUGUGGGUUUAAUCCCUGAGCCAGGAGAAGGAAAUGGCAACCCACUCCAGUAUUCUUGCCUGGAAAAUCCCAUGGACAGAGGAGCCUGGCGGGCUACAGUCCAUGGGAUGGCAAACAGCUGGACACAACUUAGUGACUAAAUACCACCAACCAACCCAGGUCUCCAGCAGAAGCAAUGGAGAGGAUAGAAGGGAGAGUUUCUGUUGAUGAGUGAGCUUGGAAGCUGACUGCUCGUAGCACCAGUGAGGCAGCCAUGAGCCCUUUGAAUUCAUUGUUCUCAUCCUUACUGAGGGACCUGGUGAGUCACUCUUGGAUCUGAACUCCACUUACUGUGUGCAGCUCUCCUAUCUAAAUAGCUUUAU